GCCGGCCCAUAAACCUAGAAUCAAAACCUUGAGGUCACAGGUUCAAAUCCUGUCUCCGCACCA
This 63-nucleotide transfer RNA is filed under the name Corydalis turtschaninovii. RNAcentral describes it as "tRNA-fMet". The record is from RNAcentral. Lineage: Eukaryota; Viridiplantae; Streptophyta; Magnoliopsida; Ranunculales; Papaveraceae.